This 447-nucleotide ribosomal RNA is filed under the name uncultured bacterium. RNAcentral's name for it is "bacterial SSU rRNA". It matches the Rfam family "Bacterial small subunit ribosomal RNA", at positions 1 to 496 of the family's 1533-position model. The record is from RNAcentral.
GUGAUAGAGUUUGAUCCUGGCUCAGAACGAACGCUGGCGGCAUGCCUAACACAUGCAAGUCGAACGAGACCUUCGGGUCUAGUGGCGCACGGGUGCGUAACGCGUGGGAAUCUGCCCUUAGGUUCGGAAUAACUCAGGGAAACUUGAGCUAAUACCGGAUGAUGACGUAAGUCCAAAGAUUUAUCGCCUAAGGAUGAGCCCGCGUAAGAUUAGCUAGUUGGUGAGGUAAAGGCUCACCAAGGCUACGAUCUUUAGCUGGUCUGAGAGGAUGAUCAGCCACACUGGGACUGAGACACGGCCCAGACUCCUACGGGAGGCAGCAGUGGGGAAUAUUGGACAAUGGGCGAAAGCCUGAUCCAGCAAUGCCGCGUGAGUGAUGAAGGCCUUAGGGUUGUAAAGCUCUUUUACCCGGGAUGAUAAUGACAGUACCGGGAGAAUAAGCUCCGG